RNA transcript from Micropterus dolomieu (smallmouth bass), 5854 nucleotides. It is a transcript of the gene named mitogen-activated protein kinase kinase kinase 5, with no coding region annotated. Lineage: Eukaryota; Metazoa; Chordata; Actinopteri; Centrarchiformes; Centrarchidae. The record is from RefSeq and is a predicted model, not a curated record. The transcript is spliced from 31 exons.
GCACAUGAAAGCAGGCUCGAUGCGUGCGCAGUGUGUGCUUUCUCUUUUGAGAGAUGUGAAGGCGUGCGAGGCUUCAACUGCGCUUAACUUCGACCUGCUGUGACAUUCCUGGUUCUUGUGGGCGUUGCUGCGCUGAUAGCUACCGGCGACGUUGCUCAACUUUGGGAAGUAGGGGGAUCUGUUGUGAGAGCUGAGAAGGAAUGCGCGGGGUUGAUGUCUAUUCCUCUUGUGUUUUUCUCCUCGGAACAGUGUCGUGACUUCGGUCAACCUGCGGUGUCCAUCAGCGUUAUCGGAUCUACGCGUGCACACGACAGUAGCCUGACCAUGCAGCAUGAUGUGCAGUGGCAGCUCUGCCUCUAACAGCCCGUUUACCUGUGUUGAAACGGAGCAAGGUUGCACGUCGUGCCUGUGCAGAAGCUCCAUGAGUAGCCGCCGCGCGUAACGCUGGCUCUCCAUGGAGGACUGCUGGAGAAGCCGCUCAUCACAACCCACACUUUAAGACAGUGAGUGACACUUGAAACAAGAUGAGUCAGGACCAGGACGGGAUAUCUUUACCGGUGCCUUGCUUCGGUGCUCGUCCCGGCACAGAGAACAUCUGCGUUGAAAGCUCGAGCAGCAGCGGUGGUGGAGUUGGCGGCUCCUUCGGGAUCCCCGCAGCUGGGACUUUCUGGCACGACUCGGUGGUCGGCGGCGGGGGGCUCAGCCCGAGCGCCGACAGUUGUCCGAUGGACGGCGGGGGCUUGCUCUCCACCGGGAAGUCGUGCAAAAGCAGACCUGUGACGGUGGCCUAUGUGGUAAACGGUGAGGCGAGCCAGCAGAAUAACGCUGAGAGCAUGGCCCUGCAGUGUCUGAAGGACGCCUGCGAUACGGUGGGCAGCAAGCUGGAGACGGUGAACUUUGGUAAACUGGACUUCGGGGAGACCACGGUCCUGGACCGCUUCUACAAUGCAGACAUAGCUGUUGUGGAGAUGACGGAUGCCUUCCGCCAGCCUUCGCUCUUCUACCACCUGGGAGUCAGAGAGAGCUUCAGCAUGGCCAACAACAUCAUCCUGUACUGUGACACUAACUCCGACUCCCUCCAGUCCCUGCAGGAGAUAAUUUGCCAGAAGAACACUACUUGCUCAGCCAACUACGCCUUCAUCCCGUACAUGGUGACACCCCACAACAAGGUGUACUGCUGUGAGGGCAGCCUGAUGAAGGGCCUGACCGAGCUGAUGCAGCCCAGCUUCGAGAUGCUGUUGGGACCCAUCUGCAUGCCGCUUCUCGAUCGCUUCAUCCAGCUGCUAAAAGAGUCUCAGGCAAACUCCCACCUGUAUUUCCGUGAGACGAUUCUGAAUGAGAUUCGUAAGGCUCGGGAGUUGUACACUGGCAUGGAGCUUGCAGCCGAGCUGAACCGCAUUCAACAGCGGCUGGACAAUGUGGAAUGCCUUUCAGUUGACAUCGUCAUCAACCUGCUGCUGACAUACAGGGACAUCCAGGAUUAUGAGUCUGUCGUGAAGCUGGUGGAGACGCUGGAGAAGCUACCAACCUUUGACCCUGUGGCACAUCCACAUGUGAAGUUCCACUAUGCCUUCGCACUGAAUAGGAGGAACCUGCCGGGCGACAGACAGAAGGCUUUGGACAUAAUGCUGCCUCUGGUGGAGGACGAGGAGCAGGUAGCCUCGGACAUCUACUGCCUGGUGGGACGGAUCUAUAAGGACAUGUUCCUAGAGUCUCACUUCACAGACACGCAGAGUAGAGACCUCGGCACACACUGGUUUAAAAAGGGGUUUGAGUCAGAGCCAACACUACACUCUGGUAUCAACUAUGCUGUUCUACUCCUGGCAGCCGGACAACAGUUCGACACAUCAUUUGAGCUUCGCAAAGUGGGAGUGAAGCUGAGCAGCCUGUUGGGGAAAAAAGGCAGCCUGGACAAGCUGCAGAGUUACUGGGAUGUAGGCUUCUUCCUGGGUGCCAGCAUCCUGGCCUGCGACAACACCAGGGUCAUCCAGGCCUCUGAGAAACUAUUUAAACUCAAAGCCCCCGUCUGGUAUCUGCGCUCGCUGGUGGAAACCAUCUUGAUCUAUAAACAGUUUAAGAAACCCGGCACGGAGCAGCCGAGCUCCAAGCAGGAGCUGUUGGACUUCUGGAUGGACUUUCUGGUGGAGGCCACCAAGAAAGACGUCUCCUCUGUCCGAUUUCCUGUGUUGAUAUUAGAGCCCACUAAAGUCUACCAGCCUUCAUAUUUGUCCAUAAACAAAGAUGUAGAUGACAACACCGUGUCUAUCUGGCAUGUUGCUCCUGACGACAAGCACAAGGGGAUUCAUGAGUGGAACUACAGCGCCACAUCAAUACGAGGUGUCAGCAUCUCCAAGUUUGAUGAGCGCAGUGCCUUCCUCUACGUUCUUCACAAUGCAGAGGACUUCCAGAUCUAUUUCUGUACAGAGAUGCACUGUAAAAGAUUCUGCGAUCUGGUCAACAGCCUAACAGAGGAGGCCUGGAAAGGUCCAGAGGAGGGAGACUGCGAAGCUGACACCCUAGAGUACGACUAUGAGUACGAUGAGCAUGGAGAGCGGGUGGUUCUGGGAAAAGGCACAUUUGGAGUGGUGUACGCAGGCCGAGACCUCAGCAACCAGGUGCGACUGGCCAUCAAAGAAAUACCAGAGAGAGACAGCAGGUACUCUCAGCCACUCCACGAGGAGAUCGCUCUUCACAAGCACUUAAAGCACAAGAAUAUCGUCCAGUACCUCGGGUCCCUCAGCGAGAACGGCUUCAUAAAAAUCUUCAUGGAGCAGGUGCCUGGAGGGAGUCUUUCUGCACUGCUGAGGUCCAAGUGGGGCCCUCUGAAAAAUAACGAGCCCACCAUCGGCUUUUACACACGGCAGAUCCUGGAGGGACUUAAGUACCUGCAUGAAAACCAGAUCGCACAUAGAGACAUCAAGGGCGAUAAUGUUCUCAUCAACACCUACAGUGGCGUCCUAAAGAUAUCAGAUUUUGGUACAUCCAAAAGGUUGGCUGGGAUCAACGCCUCCACAGAGACUUUCACAGGCACACUACAGUACAUGGCUCCUGAAAUCAUAGACAAGGGUCCUCGGGGAUACGGCAAGCCAGCAGACAUCUGGUCUCUGGGCUGCACCAUCAUAGAGAUGGCAACUGGGAAACCACCUUUCUAUGAACUAGGAGAACCACAGGCCGCUAUGUUCAAGGUGGGCAUGUUUAAGAUCCAUCCUGAGAUCCCAGAGUCCAUGUCGCCGGAGGCCAAAGCCUUCAUCCUGCGCUGCUUUGAGCCCGACCCAGACAAGCGUGCCACCGCUCUCGACCUGCUCACAGACGAGUUCCUCACCGUCACCAGCCGCAAGAAGAAAAGCAAGAGUUGCUUCACGGCUCUGUCACCAGGGUCAGAGUACCUCCGCAGUAUAUCCCUGCCAGUGCCGGUGGUGGUGGAGGACACGAGCAGCAGCAGUGAGUACGGCUCUGUCUCCCCUGACAACGACCUCAACACUGACCCCUUCAUCUUCAAGCCUAGCGUCAAGUGCUACAGCGAGAGGGAUGUCAAGGGGCCUAGGUCACUCUUCCUCAGCAUUCCAGUGGAGAACUUUGAGGACCACAGUGCACCUCCGUCCCCUGAUGAGAAGGAUUCAGGCUUCUUUAUGCUUCGGAAGGACAGCGAGAGACGAGCCACCCUACACCAAAUCCUGACCGAGGACCGGAACAAGGUGGUGGCCAACCUGAUGGAGGCCCUCACGCAGGGCUCUGAGAUAAUGAAGCUGAAGCCUCAGCACAUCUCCACCCUCGUGGUCAGUCUGGCUGACUUUGUUCGCAUGGCAGACAGGAAAAUCAUCGCCAACACGCUGUCUCAACUCAAGCUGGAGCUGGACUUUGACAGCACUGCCAUCAGCCAGCUGCAGGUUGUGCUGUUUGGCUUCCAAGAUGCUGUGAACAAAGUGCUGCGAAACCACAACAUCAAGCCUCACUGGAUGUUCGCUCUGGACAAUAUCAUCCGCAAAGCUGUGCAGACGGCCAUCACAAUCCUGGUUCCAGAGCUGAGGCCUCACUUCAGUCUGGCAUCAGAAAGUGACCCGGCCGACCAGGACGACGAUGACGACGAUGCUGAGCCAGAGAGAAGCUCCACCCACCAGAGCCGGGUGACUCCUGUGGCAACUCACGACGACACCGUGGUCACCUCAGGAGUCAGCACGCUCAGCUCUACCGUCUCACACGAGUCCCAUAAUGUACAGCGCUCCGUGAGCAUGGAACUGGGUCGGAUGAAGCUGGAGACCAACAGGCUGCUGGAACAGCUGCUGGAGAAGGAGAGAGAGUAUCAGGCCAUCCUGCAACAAGUGCUGGAAGAAAGAGAGCAGGAGAUCAGACUACUGAGGCUGCGAUCUGAGCUCACAGACGUCCCCACAUCAUCAGAUAGUCAAGAGGAACAGACUAUUCAACAUGCAGAGAGCCAUGAAGAUCUGACCAGCUGGCUGCGGCUUUAUGGUGCUGACCAGGACUCCAUAGACACAAUACUGAAUGAGGAAUACACGUUGAACGACAUCCUCCAUGAUGUAACAAGAGACGAUCUGAAGAGUUUAAGACUGAGUGGUAGUAUCUAAAAAGACGUGGUGGCAGACAGCAACAUGCAGUGAUUUGUUCUCCAGGGUAUCUGCGGGUCUUCAAAAGAAUUUAAAAUACUUUCGUCUUAGAAAGUAUUAAAAUAGGUGGGAUCCUGUGUAAACUAUGGAAGGCCAUAACAGACUACAGGCAGAAGCCAACCUGAGGCCUUAAGUGGCAACAACCACUCAGAAGCCAGGACCUUUGUCCCAACAACUCAGUAUUCUCCUCUUUACCUCAGUAUUUAUAAGAGCAAGACUUUUAGGAGAAGACCCUGUGGUUGUCGUGUGCACAGAGCAGCUUUCCACCCACGCAAGAAACUCUUUGAUUGGUCUUGUCAGAGUAUUUUGAUAAUAUUUGGGUCACUUUGAAAGCAACAAUUACUGAGAGGUGCCACUAGUUUUGCUAUGUCUGAUGGAGAUUACUCAGCUUUUUGUUACAGGUGCGUUGGAAAUGGCAAUUGGUGGGAAAAUCUAUUGUUAAAAUCUUGAAAACUGUCAUUUUUUCCUGUCUUUACAAGAUGUAACGUUUACAAAACUGGAAACUGAUUGUUUUCUAACACAAGCCUGAGAUACAAAAUACUACAUUCAAAAUCAUCUGUACUAAUGUUUUUAUCAUAGGCAUCUGAUCACUACUUUAUUUAAAUGUAUUUUUAAUUUAAUUGUUAUGGUAAUCUGAAGGAUGCCAGUGCAUGUCCUGUUUUUAUUUUAUUUUUUAUCCUUACUGAUACUUAUUUAAAUUGCUUUUUCACUUUUCCUUUUAUAACACAAGUCUACCUUUUUAUUUUUCAGAAUCUUGUAAAUAUUACAAACAUAUAGUUGUAGAAUCAUAUGUGAAUGACAUUUAUGUACUUAAAAAAUACAUUGAUAAACAUCUCCAUGUGGAUUGGACCAAGUCUAUAAUGAACACAUUUGAAAAAUGAAUUGUAAAGUAUUGUAUACUCUGGUGUCACACAUCACACAAGAUAAUAUUCAGUUAGUAAUUAAUAUAAUUAAUUUGCUCUGUUUUAAUUGUUGUACACUGACAAAACCGUGCUUAUCUUGCUUGUGUAUAUAUCAUUAUAUCAGAUGUAUGUUGUAAUGAAAAAUCUGAAACAAAUUUCAUACGGAAGAGCCUUUACCUUUUUUAUUAUUAUUUUAAAACAGAUGUCAGAAAUGGGGAAAAUAAUCAUGAGCAGUGUGUCUGUUUUGUUCCGUAUCUACUCAGUUAUUCAAGAUCUUUGUGUCAUAUUGUUAAAAAUAAAACUUUUUAUCUUGAAACUGUGAAAAAAAAA